GCACAAGCGGUGGAGCAUGUGGUCUAAUUCGAUGCAACGCGAAGAACCUUACCUGGGCUUGACAUCCCGGGAAUCCCUUGGAAACAAGGGAGUGCCCUUCGGGGAACCUGGAGACAGGUGCUGCAUGGCUGUCGUCAGCUCGUGUCGUGAGAUGUAGGGUUAAGUCCCGCAACGAGCGCAACCCUUAUCAUUAGUUGCUACGCAAGGGCACUCUAAUGAGACUGCCGGUGACAAACCGGAGGAAGGUGGGGAUGACGUCAAGUCCUCAUGGCCCUUAUGGGUAGGGCUUCACACGUCAUACAAUGGUCGGUACAGAGGGUUGCCAAGCCGCGAGGCGGAGCCAAUCCCACAAAGCCGAUCGUAGUCCGGAUUGUUCUCUGCAACUCGAGAGCAUGAAGUCGGAAUCGCUAGUAAUCGCAGGUCAGCAUACUGCGGUGAAUACGUUCCCGGGUCUU
RNAcentral lists this ribosomal RNA (455 nucleotides) under uncultured Thiobacillus sp. Its description in RNAcentral is "bacterial SSU rRNA". It matches the Rfam family "Bacterial small subunit ribosomal RNA", at positions 923 to 1382 of the family's 1533-position model. The record is from RNAcentral. Lineage: Bacteria; Pseudomonadati; Pseudomonadota; Betaproteobacteria; Nitrosomonadales; Thiobacillaceae.